UAGGGAAUCUUCCACAAUGGGCGGAAGCCUGAUGGAGCAACGCCGCGUGUGUGAUGAAGGGUUUCGGCUCGUAAAACACUGUUGUAAGAGAAGAAUGACAGGGUUNAGAGUAACUGUUCAAUGUGUGACGGUAUCUUACCAGAAAGGAACGGCUAAAUACGUGCCAG
Molecule: ribosomal RNA, 167 nt
Filed under: uncultured bacterium
Lineage: Bacteria
Description: partial 16S rRNA
Rfam family: Bacterial small subunit ribosomal RNA
Source: RNAcentral